RNAcentral lists this ribosomal RNA (497 nucleotides) under uncultured bacterium. RNAcentral's name for it is "partial 16S ribosomal RNA". It matches the Rfam family "Bacterial small subunit ribosomal RNA", at positions 28 to 507 of the family's 1533-position model. The record is from RNAcentral.
GAUGAACGCUGGCGGCGUGCCUAAUACAUGCAAGUCGAGCGAACAGACGAGGCGCUUGCUCCUCUGACGUUAGCGGCGGACGGGUGAGUAACACGUGGAUAACCUCCCUAUAAGACUGGGAUAACUUCGAGAAACCGGAGCACAUACCGGAUAAUAUAUUUAACCGCAUGGUUCAAUAGUGAAAGACGGUUUUGCUGUCACUUAUAGAUGGAUCCGCGCGGCAUGAGCUAGUUGGUAAGGUAACGGCUUACCAAGGCAACGAUGCGUAGCCGACCGGAUAGAGGGAUCGGCGACACUGGAACGUAGACACGGACCAGAGGCCUACGGGACGGACCAGAAGGGAACGUGAGGCAACAGGGGAAAGCAUGACGGAGUAGCGGCGAGUGAGUGGCGAAGGCGCUGGGUGCGUAAAACUCGGUUACGAGUGAAGAACAAAUGUGGAAGGAGAUAUGCACGUGGUGACGGUACCUAAACAGAAAGCCACGGCUAACUACGUG